This 655-nucleotide ribosomal RNA is filed under the name uncultured Arcobacter sp. RNAcentral's name for it is "partial 16S ribosomal RNA". It matches the Rfam family "Bacterial small subunit ribosomal RNA", at positions 874 to 1533 of the family's 1533-position model. Lineage: Bacteria; Pseudomonadati; Campylobacterota; Epsilonproteobacteria; Campylobacterales; Arcobacteraceae. The record is from RNAcentral.
UGGGGAGUACGGUCGCAAGAUUUCAAANUCAANGGAAUAGACGGGGACCNGCACAAGCGGUGGAGCAUGGGGUUUAAUUCGANGAUACGCGAAAGAACCUUACCUGGNCUUGACAUAGAAAAGAAUAACGCAGAGAUGUGAUAGNGCUUGCUUGCAAGAACUUUCAUACAGGUGCUGCACGGCUGUCGUCAGCUCGUGUCGUGAGAUGUUGGGUUAAGUCCCGCAACGAGCGCAACCCUCGUCGUUAGUUGCUAACAGUUCGGUCUGAGAACUCUAACGAGACUGCCUGGGUAACCAGGAGGAAGGUGAGGACGACGUCAAGUCAUCAUGGCCCUUACGUCCAGGGCUACACACGUGCUACAAUGGGGCAUACAAAGAGCCGCGAUACCGUGAGGUGGAGCAAAUCUCAAAAAUGCCUCCCAGUUCGGAUAGUAGUCUGCAACUCGACUACUUGAAGUUGGAAUCGCUAGUAAUCGUAGAUCAGCAAUGNUACGGUGAAUACGUUCCCGGGUNUUGUACUCACCGCCCGUCACACCAUGGGAGUUGAACUCAUUCGAAGCGGGGAUGCUAAAGUAGCUACCCUCCACAGUGGAUUCAGCGANCUGNNANGAAGUCGUAACAAGGUAACCAAGGGNGAAUUNCAGCACACCUGGCG